CCUACGGGAGGCAGCAGUGAGGAAUAUUGGUCAAUGGUCGGGAGACUGAACCAGCCAAGCCGCGUGAGGGAUGAAGGUACAGAGUAUCGUAAACCUCUUUUGUCAGGGAACAAAGGCGGGGACGUGUCCCCGGAUGAGUGUACCUGAAGAAAAAGCAUCGGCUAACUCCGUGCCAGCAGCCGCGGUAAUACGGAGGAUGCGAGCGUUAUCCGGAUUUAUUGGGUUUAAAGGGUGCGCAGGCGGUAUGUAAAGUCAGCGGUAAAAGCCCGGGGCUCAACCCCGGCCCGCCGUUGAAACUGGCAGUCUCGAGUUGGCGAGAAGUACGCGGAAUGCGUGGUGUAGCGGUGAAAUGCAUAGAUAUCGCGCAGAACUCCGAUUGCGAAGGCAGCAUGCCGGCUCCACACUGACGCUGAGGCACGAAAGCGUGGGUAUCGAACAGGAUUAGAUACCCUAGUAGUC
Molecule: ribosomal RNA, 459 nt
Filed under: uncultured bacterium
Lineage: Bacteria
Description: partial 16S ribosomal RNA
Rfam family: Bacterial small subunit ribosomal RNA
Source: RNAcentral